GUUCGCUUCGGCAGAACGUAUACUAAAAUUGAAACAAUACAGAGAUUAGCAUGGCCCCUGCGCAAGGAUGACACGCAAAUUCAUGAAGCGUUCCAUAUUUUA
This 102-nucleotide small nuclear RNA is filed under the name Physeter macrocephalus (sperm whale). Lineage: Eukaryota; Metazoa; Chordata; Mammalia; Artiodactyla; Physeteridae. The record is from RNAcentral.